GCUUGUCUCAAAGAUUAAGCCAUGCAUGUGUAAGUAUCAGAAGUCUGAACUUCAAAACUGCGAAUGGCUCAUUAUAUCAGUUAUAGUUUAUUUGAUAGUACCUUACUACUUGGAUAACCGUAGUAAUUCUAGAGCUAAUACAUGCAUGAACCCCCGACUUUUGAAGGGGUGUAUUUAUUAGAUUGAAACCAAUGCGGGUUCCCCGGUAUUUGGUGAUUCAUAAUAACUUUCGGAUCGACUUCGGUCGAUGCAUCAUUCAAGUUUCUGCCCUAUCAGCUUUGGAUGGUAGGGUAUUGGCCUACCAUGGCUUUAACGGGUAACGGAGAAUUAGGGUUCGAUUCCGGAGAGGGAGCCUGAGAAAUGGCUACCACAUCCAAGGAAGGCAGCAGG
RNAcentral lists this ribosomal RNA (390 nucleotides) under uncultured Chrysophyceae. RNAcentral describes it as "partial small subunit ribosomal RNA". It matches the Rfam family "Eukaryotic small subunit ribosomal RNA", at positions 30 to 432 of the family's 1831-position model. Lineage: Eukaryota; Chrysophyceae. The record is from RNAcentral.